Molecule: ribosomal RNA, 497 nt
Filed under: uncultured bacterium
Lineage: Bacteria
Description: partial 16S ribosomal RNA
Rfam family: Bacterial small subunit ribosomal RNA
Source: RNAcentral
GAUGAACGCUGGCGGCGUGCCUAAUACAUGCAAGUCGAGCGAACAGACGAGGAGCUUGCUCCUUUGAUGUUAGCGGCGGACGGGUGAGUAACACGUAGGUAACCUACCUAUAAGACUGGGAUAACUUCGGGAAACCGGAGCUAAUACCGGAUAAUAUUUCGAACCGCAUGGUUCGAUAGUGAAAGAUGGCUUUGCUAUCACUUAUAGAUGGACCUGCGCCGUAUUAGCUAGUUGGUAAGGUAACGGCUUACCAAGGCAACGAUACGUAGCCGACCUGAGAGGGUGAUCGGCCACACUGGAACGGAGACACGGUCCAGACUCCUACGGGAGGCAGCAGUAGGGAAUCUUCCGCAAUGGGCGAAAGCCUGACGGAGCAACGCCGCGUGAGUGAUGAAGGUCUUCGGAUCGUAAAACUCUGUUAUUAGGGAAGAACAAACGUGUAAGUAAAUGUGCACGUCUUGACGGUACCUAAUCAGAAAGCCACGGCUAACUACGUG